Mytilus californianus (California mussel) is the source of this 567-nucleotide long non-coding RNA. RefSeq lists it as uncharacterized. The transcript has 2 exons. The record is from RefSeq and is a predicted model, not a curated record. Lineage: Eukaryota; Metazoa; Mollusca; Bivalvia; Mytilida; Mytilidae.
UACGUUUGUAAUCUUUGUACGUAUUGUCAAAUUGAUAAGUAGUGUACUAAACGGUCAUGCUUGUCAAUACAUAACGGGUUCUUAUCAUUUAAAUUUAAAUUUCGUAGUCUAAUUCGAUACCACCUGCUACAACCUUGUUCAAUCACACAUAUUCCUUACAUUAGGAUUCUUAGUUUAUAUCAUACAUAUUGAGAAGAUGACAAAUUUAAAAGUUCUUCUACUGGUUGUAUCAGCUGUUUGUAUUUCGUAUGUGUUGACAUGCCGUGACAAUUACGCACAAAGUCAUCAUAGUAAAUGUUACUGCCCAUGUGACGAUACCUUUAACCAGUGCGAAACCAACUGUACAACGCUAUACCAUGACAAGCUACACCUGAGCCACUGCCAAAUCAGGUGUACAGAUGGUCUAGCCUGGUGCAUUAAUGCAUGUAAUCACGGAUAAAAAUGUUAACUGUUUUUAUUUCCCAUUCUUUGAAUGUCUGAAUAAAAACUGAUACUACUUUGUUCCCCUUUUUAGGUGAAUAUUUAAUGACAAAAUAAAAUGAUAUGGAGAUGUGGUAUGAUUGCAUA